GAUGAACGCUGGCGGCGUGCCUAAUACAUGCAAGUCGAACGAGUUCUCGUUGAUGAUCGGUGCUUGCACCGAGAUUCAACAUGGAACGAGUGGCGGACGGGUGAGUAACACGUGGGUAACCUGCCCUUAAGUGGGGGAUAACAUUUGGAAACAGAUGCUAAUACCGCAUAGAUCCAAGAACCGCAUGGUUCUUGGCUGAAAGAUGGCGUAAGCUAUCGCUUUUGGAUGGACCCGCGGCGUAUUAGCUAGUUGGUGAGGUAACGGCUCACCAAGGCGAUGAUACGUAGCCGAACUGAGAGGGUGAUCGGCCACACUGGGACUGAGACACGGCCCAG
RNAcentral lists this ribosomal RNA (335 nucleotides) under uncultured bacterium. RNAcentral's name for it is "bacterial SSU rRNA". It matches the Rfam family "Bacterial small subunit ribosomal RNA", at positions 28 to 334 of the family's 1533-position model. The record is from RNAcentral.